CACCACUCAGGCCAGGCCAGUGGCCUUGGGAGGGGCCUGUGAUGCUGGGACCACAGUUCCUGGGCAGGGAGCAACCGUCUAGGCGUGGGGAGAACGCAGGACGUGACCCACACACCGCACUGGAGGCUCCGCUCUGCCCGCUCCGGGACCCCUUCCUCCGCCGCACCCGCCCCGGUGGUCCGCGGAUGCCCGCCCUUGCCGCUCAGCCACUCCCCCCGCACCGAGGCCUAGGACUCCCC
Molecule: long non-coding RNA, 239 nt
Filed under: Homo sapiens (human)
Lineage: Eukaryota; Metazoa; Chordata; Mammalia; Primates; Hominidae
Description: HSALNT0406775
Source: RNAcentral